CUGAUGAGAACGUCCAUGUCACGGUGGAGCCUGCCUCCAACACUCUCCGCAAAGAGUUAAAAUUUGAUACAAAUACGUUACGUUGUAACAGUACAUUACGUGGUAACAUUAUGCGCAGACCGAACAGAGUGAGAAAAUACAGAGAUGAUGCCUUUUACUGGUACAAUGACAGACCCUUCCAGGACAAAUUCCAGUCCAUUCUAGCCCGAGGUGACUAUAUCAUGGACACAACUUCCCUGGCGCUGGACAGAUCAUACAGAUGGCCCAGACAGGACAAUCUCUACCAGAGCUACCAACUGGGCUGGAGAUGCAUGUAAAAGCAGUAAAGUCUGAAUCCACACAAUACCAUUAGUGGAAACCAGUCUUCAGCCGGCAGAACCACAGGAAUGAUUCAUUUUUCUUGACACCAUGUGGAUAAAUUUUCUUCUUUCUUGCUCAGGCAACCAACCAACCUCAGGGUUGGCAGUACAACAGGCAACUGAAUACCGCACAGCUGCUGCCCAUCACCCUAAAGGUCCCUUUACAUAUAUGACAGAGAAGCGUUCCUUCCUGACAAUCUGCUGCUCCCUGGUGGAAGAGCGAGCUGCAUUUAUAUGCACAGAUCUCCUCCAGAGUAUAGCAUAUGUUAGGCUACUUUCACACUAGUAUUAAUAUUUUCUGGUAUUGAGAUCCGUCAUAGGGUCUCAAUACCGGAAAAAAUGCUUCCGUUUUGUCCCCAUUCA
Molecule: long non-coding RNA, 722 nt
Organism: Bufo gargarizans (Asiatic toad)
Lineage: Eukaryota; Metazoa; Chordata; Amphibia; Anura; Bufonidae
Exons: 3
Source: RefSeq, a predicted model, not a curated record